This 760-nucleotide ribosomal RNA is filed under the name Duganella sp. CY15W. RNAcentral's name for it is "partial 23S ribosomal RNA". It matches the Rfam family "Bacterial large subunit ribosomal RNA", at positions 2178 to 2925 of the family's 2925-position model. Lineage: Bacteria; Pseudomonadati; Pseudomonadota; Betaproteobacteria; Burkholderiales; Oxalobacteraceae. The record is from RNAcentral.
CUAUGGAGCCAUCCUUGAAAUACCACCCUGGUUCAUUUGAGGUUCUAACCUUGGUCCGUUAUCCGGAUCGGGGACAGUGCAUGGUAGGCAGUUUGACUGGGGCGGUCUCCUCCUAAAGUGUAACGGAGGAGUUCGAAGGUACGCUAGGUACGGUCGGACAUCGUGCUAAUAGUGCAAUGGCAUAAGCGUGCUUAACUGCGAGACCGACAAGUCGAGCAGGUACGAAAGUAGGACAUAGUGAUCCGGUGGUUCUGUAUGGAAGGGCCAUCGCUCAACGGAUAAAAGGUACUCUGGGGAUAACAGGCUGAUUCCUCCCAAGAGUUCAUAUCGACGGGGGAGUUUGGCACCUCGAUGUCGGCUCAUCACAUCCUGGGGCUGUAGCCGGUCCCAAGGGUAUGGCUGUUCGCCAUUUAAAGUGGUACGUGAGCUGGGUUUAAAACGUCGUGAGACAGUUUGGUCCCUAUCUGCCGUGGGCGUUGGAAAUUUGAAGGGGGCUGCUCCUAGUACGAGAGGACCGGAGUGGACAGACCUCUGGUGUACCGGUUGUCACGCCAGUGGCAUUGCCGGGUAGCUAAGUCUGGAAGAGAUAACCGCUGAAAGCAUCUAAGCGGGAAACUUGCCUUAAGAUGAGAUUUCCCAGAGCCUUGAGCUCUUUGAAGGGUCGUUCGAGACCAGGACGUUGAUAGGUCAGGUGUGGAAGUGCAGUAAUGCAUUAAGCUAACUGAUACUAAUUGCCCGUACGGCUUGUCCCUAUAACCUU